This is a non-coding RNA of Dechloromonas aromatica RCB, 185 nucleotides long. The record is from Rfam. Lineage: Bacteria; Pseudomonadati; Pseudomonadota; Betaproteobacteria; Rhodocyclales; Azonexaceae.
UCGAUAGAAUGUUCCUGAGUCAUUGGGGAGUAGCCGCUCUUCAAUCUGAAGAGGCUUGCGUCAACAUACUUGGUCAUUCGACCAUGGCGUAAGCGGUUUCUGCUUGGCAAGACCUUUGACCAUACUGCCUUCCGAAUGGCCGGGGAGGUGGUGUGGUCAUUCGUCGAAUUCCGGCCAAGGAAACC